Molecule: non-coding RNA, 214 nt
Organism: Schizosaccharomyces pombe (fission yeast)
Lineage: Eukaryota; Fungi; Ascomycota; Schizosaccharomycetes; Schizosaccharomycetales; Schizosaccharomycetaceae
Source: the annotation of a GenBank genome assembly
AAGAAUAUUUAGUGAGUUUUUUUUAAUUUUCUCCACUUGUUUAUACCUUGCUCAAAGGACGCACGAUUAAGGCCAUCAGGAACUAAACAGAAUGUAACACCAAGUCUUUCAACCUCUCUGUUCCUAGACUCAUCAUCAAAAAACACCAUUUCUCGAUAGUCAAUUCCAGAUUCGUUGUGGAUCUCUUUGAAGUGAUCCAUUUUACUACCUAUUU